Molecule: RNA transcript, 2021 nt
Organism: Patella vulgata (common limpet)
Lineage: Eukaryota; Metazoa; Mollusca; Gastropoda; Patellidae
Gene name: protein fuzzy homolog
Exons: 12
Source: RefSeq, a predicted model, not a curated record
GCAAGGAUUUGUUUAGAAAUGGCUGCUUAUCUCAUUUGCCUUACUUCUGGAGGUGGUAUUCCACUCUUUACACGUUCCAAAGGCGAUUUGAAACCGUUGCCAUUCCCUGUUAUUGGGUCUUUAAAUGCUGUUCAUAUGUUUGCUGCUAAUCAUGGCACAGAAUUAAAAACUGCAACAACAGAAGGCUCCAAGAUUGUUUGGAAAUCAUUUCUUAACAGUAUAAAUCUGAUUAUUGUAACAAGUGAAGAUAAUGCUGAUGAUUGUCAUGUAAAUAAACUACUAGAUAAUAUCUUCCAUGCUUUAAUAUUAUUAUACGGGGAGGAAGAAUUGGCCAAUAUUAAAAAUGUAGAAAGGUGUAAACGUGAAAUCAAAGUAUGUUAUCAACUUAUAGAUUAUAUAUUAGAAAGAUGGUUUUUACCAACAUUUUCUGAUGUAACAAAUGCUGUAGAUACCAUUGCUGCACAAGAAGUUCAUAUUUUACAAAAUUUUCUGGAUGCCUUUACUGAAACUGGGGACAGCCUGUUUGGGUGUUUGAUGGUUCAUGGAAAAGUUGCAGUCGCUACUAAAAAAUGGUGGAGUUUAUCUGCUACAGAAUUAAUCUUAUUGUCAUUGUUAGUUGAGUCAUUACUUAGAUGUUCCUCUAGAGAUGUUCCUGUUUAUUUACCUCAGAUGAGUCCAUCGGUACCUCACAGAUUAUUGACAUUUAGCUUGAUGAAUGGUGUAGAUGUUUGUAUCAUUUGCGGUCCGGCACCAUCGUUAUCUCAACUAGAAAAGGAGGUGGGAAGAUUUUGGGGAGCUGCCUUUGAUUCAUUAAAGUCUUUACGAGAAGUUCAUCCGAGAAAUAUACCACCUAAUAUCACUUUAGAUCCUAAUAUAAUGGGGUUCAUGUUAAUAAAUGGUGAAAGUAAUAGAUGUUUAUGUUCUGUUGAUGUAAAUUCAUGUACAUCAGAACACAGUAUAAAUGGUGCAAGAAGAAGAGAGAUAUUACGGUGCUAUUAUCAAAAAGUUAUAGGAACUUAUUUCUCCAGUACAAUAGAAGGCAGUGAAAAUGGUCCAACAGAGUUUGCUCACAAACCAUUUGAAACAUAUGUUGUUACAGAGAGCUAUAAAAUAUAUGCCUUACAACUCAACACCUAUCAUUUUUUCGUGCUGUAUACCAUAGACAUUCCCACAUAUGCCAUGAGGAAACAACAGCACAGACCGUCACAACAGAUUUCGUAAUCCAUGGCUAUGAAAGGGGCGAUUUGGAGUACACAUUUACAAUAGCCAGGGAAGAACACCAAGACGAAAUUUUCGAUGUUAACUGUCCCGUUUCCAUUCUUAGAACUUGUAUCGCGCAUGAUUCGGAGGAAGAGCUUGUGAUGAAGAUAGAAGAGAUUAUACAAAAUGAAACGGUAAUAACACUAAAAAUGGUCGGCAAUAAAUUGGCAGAACUGUAGGAUAUUAUCGAGCUGUUACAUGUAUACAUAUAUGUAAAUAUUAGUCAAAUUUUCAUUUUAUAUUGUUGGAUUUUUGUUUGUCCUAUUGUUUCGAUUUUCGUGUAGGACCAAUUUUAAUAAAGCCAGGACCCGGUUCACAAUUUAUUAAAGAAUAUUUAUUCUUUUUAUUUUCCCCAACGGACCGGGUCCUACAAUCUUCGUCGCUUAAUCAUUCAUUGAGUCAUCAUCUAUCCGCCCCAAACAACAAAUUAAUGGCAUAAUGGACAACUGAAUAUUUAAGCGCACCUCUGAUAUAUGGAAAAUCACGGUCAAAUAUUUAAUACGACACGCUCAGUAAUACGCAUUUGACUGUGAUCUUCCAUGUUCCAAAAUAUGUAUAUUCCAUUUUAAUAUUCAUUCAUUGCUGUAAUUAUGUACUAAAUAUAGAACUCGAUCAUAAUUUAAUAUCAUUUCCAGCAGAAAAUAUUACAUUUAUUCUAUAUGCAACCUAAAUUUCAAACUAUAAGAUUGUAAGCCAUUAUAUAUCCCUGACUGAUACCAUAAUUUACAUUUUGCAUUUGACUUGUAAUAUCUCUCUCUUUA